RNAcentral lists this non-coding RNA (784 nucleotides) under Semblis atrata. Lineage: Eukaryota; Metazoa; Arthropoda; Insecta; Trichoptera; Phryganeidae. The record is from RNAcentral.
UUAAAGUUAAUUCUAGCUUUGAUAUUUAUUAUUUAUUUAAUUAAAUUGUAUAUAAAUUUUUGUGGUAAUUUAAGAUAUAACUUUAAAAGUUAUAUAAUUCAUUUAAUAUAAUAUUUAAUAUUAAAAAUUAAAGAAAUUUAGAUUUAGUAAUAUAAAAAUUAUUGAUAAAAUUUGUGCCAGCAAUCGCGGUUAUACUAAUAAUAAAAUAAAUAUUUUUAUUUUAAUUAAUAUUUUGUUUUAAAAAUAAAAAUUUAAUUUAUAGGGUAAAAUAUUAAAUUAAAAAUUUUUUUUUAUUAUAAAUUUAUAUGAAGUUAAUAAAUAUUUUAAAUAAACUAGGAUUAGAUACCCUACUAUAAAAUUAAAGAAAAAAAAAUAAGUAGUAAUAGUUAUAUUCUUGAAACUUAAAGAAUAUGGCAGUAUUUUAAUCUAUUUAGAGGAACCUGUUUAUUAAUUGAUAAUCCACAAUUUAUUUUACUUAAUUUUAUUUAAUUUGUAUAUCGUUGUUAUAAAAAUAUUUUUUAGAAAAUAAAAAUUUUAGAUUUUUAAGAUAAAAUUAUAUCAAAUCAAGAUGCAGUUUAUAUUUAAGAAUGUAAUGGGUUAUAAUAAAUUAAUUUUUGGAUAAAUUUAAUGAAAUAUAAAUUUGAAAGUAGAUUUAAAAGUAAUUUAAGCUAAUUAGCUUAAAUGAUGUAAGUUCUAAAAUAUGUACAUAUUGCCCGUCACUUUCAUUUUAAAUUGAAAUAAGUCGUAACAUAGUAGAAGUACUGGAAAGUGUUUCUAGAAAGAU